RNAcentral lists this ribosomal RNA (253 nucleotides) under uncultured bacterium. RNAcentral describes it as "partial 16S ribosomal RNA". It matches the Rfam family "Bacterial small subunit ribosomal RNA", at positions 524 to 776 of the family's 1533-position model. The record is from RNAcentral.
UACGUAGGGGGCAAGCGUUGUUCGGAAUUACUGGGCGUAAAGGGCGCGUAGGCGGCACGGCAAGUCGGGAGUGAAAGGCCUGGGCUCAACCGAGGAACUGCUUUCGAGACUGCCGAGCUAGAGUGCGGAAGGGGCAACCGGAAUUCCCAGUGUAGCGGUGAAAUGCGUAGAUAUUGGGAAGAACACCUGAGGCGAAGGCGGGUUGCUGGGCCGACACUGACGCCGAGGCGCGAAAGCCAGGGGAGCAAACGGG